This 271-nucleotide ribosomal RNA is filed under the name uncultured prokaryote. Its description in RNAcentral is "partial 16S ribosomal RNA". It matches the Rfam family "Bacterial small subunit ribosomal RNA", at positions 524 to 794 of the family's 1533-position model. The record is from RNAcentral.
UACGGAGGAUCCGAGCGUUAUCCGGAUUUAUUGGGUUUAAAGGGUGCGCAGGCGGGGGAUUAAGUCGGCGGUGAAAUUUUGCAGCUCAGCUGUAAAAGUGCCUUCGAAACUGGUUUCCUUGAGUGUAGAUGAAGUAGGCGGAAUUUGUGGUGUAGCGGUGAAAUGCAUAGAUAUCACGAGGAACUCCGAUUGCGAAGGCAGCUUACUAAGCUACUACUGACGCUCAGGCACAAAGGCGUGGGGAUCAAACAGGAUUAGAUACCCCGGUAGU